RNAcentral lists this ribosomal RNA (253 nucleotides) under uncultured bacterium. RNAcentral describes it as "partial 16S ribosomal RNA". It matches the Rfam family "Bacterial small subunit ribosomal RNA", at positions 524 to 776 of the family's 1533-position model. The record is from RNAcentral.
UACGUAGGGGGCAAGCGUUGUCCGGAUUUAUUGGGCGUAAAUCGCUCGCAGGCGGCUCGAUGCGUCGUGCGUGAAACACCCCGGCUCAACUGGGGAGGGUCGUGCGAUACGGUCGGGCUGGAGGCCAGUAGGGGGAUGCGGAAUUCCGGGUGUAGUGGUGGAAUGCGUAGAGAUCCGGAGGAACACCAGCGGCGAAGGCGGCAUCCUGGACUGGUCCUGACGCUCAGGAGCGAAAGCGUGGGGAGCGAUCCGG